RNA transcript from Capsicum annuum, 3095 nucleotides. RefSeq lists it as uncharacterized. The record is from RefSeq and is a predicted model, not a curated record. The transcript is spliced from 17 exons. NCBI's taxonomy places the organism in Eukaryota, Viridiplantae, Streptophyta, Magnoliopsida, Solanales, Solanaceae.
UUAGCGAAAAGCUCCUCAAGAUAAGAAUAGUAUGUUGUGAUGGUUAACGAAGGAAGGUGGCACUUGUUAGCAGUUCAGAUCGACCCGAGUAGUAGUGGUGGGUGUCUCAUGUCUCUGCAAAUGAGUAGUCCUCUACAUUUUCCGUCGUCAUCGUUUAGUCGGUUGUUCACAACGAGAGGGAAUAGUCCUUAUAAAUGCCCAGCAGUUGGGUUUAAGCCACCCACCGACAAUACUGAAACAAAACCUCCUACCAUCAAUAGCACUUGUUCAGAAGGGAUCAUUAAAGUGCCCAGGCAAAGAUACAUUUCUGCUUCUAAAUCUCACCUGUUGGAUGCCAUCACUACCACCUUCUUUAACUUACCCCAUGAAGCCCAUCUAUUUCGUCAACUAUCAUUAUGCCUGGACCUGAUUCUCCAUGCCGAACACAAAGUUAUCUUAGAGGAAAUGCGAGUUGAAUAUGAUCGCUCUCAUUCCAAUCUUAGUAGUAAUAAUACUGCUGUUUCAUCUGGCCAAGAAAGAAAUUUCACACCAAAUGGAAGGGGUUCUGACAUCGUCACGAGUGAUUUUGAGAAGGUUGGAAACAUGGAUAAAUAUGGCAAGGACGUGGAUCUGAAGAAUCUAUGGACUUCAGGUUCUAAUCAAUUCUCAGGAUCUCCUUAUGUUUCCUUUCUCAAAUUUGUCAACAAAGACUCUCUUGAGGAGUCUAGAACUGCGGUUUCCAGUCGUUUUCAACAUGCUUUCCUACAGCUGCUUUCCAAUGCAGGAUUUGAAGAAUUGUCUGCUAGAGAUCUGAGACUUACAUCUGCUCUAAAUACUGAUUAUCUUCUUACUUUGCCAAUAUCGGUUGACUGGAAGAGUGCAUCUCAGUCCAGUGCCAUAUUAUUCAGGCGUGGUUAUGCAACUGAGAGGCAGAAGGGUUUGCUAAUUGUUGAAAAACUAGAUUACUUGCAGUCGAAGUUUAUACAAGGAGUUUUCUCUGUGAUAGUCAAACCACUGAAGAAAUUUAGUACUUGGUUGACUGAGGUUUUGGAAAGAUCUAUCACAAAAGACAAUGCACUUUGGGCCGAAAACAUCAAGCUUUGGUUGGAACAUGUUCCGAUUUUCCAGCAAACAUCUAGUGACGACCAGCACAUAUCAAAUAAGCCAUUUGAGAUUGACACAUUAUCAGAAAAUGACCUUCCCCUUUUGAAAGCUGCACAAAAUGCAGUAACUCGUUAUGAAGAAAAUCUUUCAGCAGCUGGGCCUCGUGGUAGGCUUCUACAGAAGCUGCUGGUUUUGAUUGGAGUCCUAACUUCAACACAUAAACAGCAAGUAGAGCUUGACAUAGAUGUUACUGAAACUGAAUCUCAUUUAAGGCCAAUAUUUUUGUCGAGGAUAUCACUUAGCGAUAUAUGGGAACCUGCAUCACGCGACCUAUGUGGAAAUGAUUUUUGGAGAAUGUUGAGAACUUCUAUUUCCAUUCUUCUCUCAAAAUCAACUCUUCAGGAACCAGCUUACCAAGAGUUGAUUUUGCUAUACAUCAAGGUAACUUGUGAAGGAGGUGACGCCGAUAAACCUGAGUUUCCCUCCUUACAGCUGAAGAUCUACGAGAAAAUCCCCAUUCCAGAUCUACCAGUUGUUUUUCCACACAAGAAGUUGUCUUUCCGCAUACUAGACUCGGUACGCCUGGACAUUGCCUCGGUUCUUGGACUUCUGGCGUACUUCAUAAACUACAAGUUCGAAAAUAUAUUUUCACUAUCCGCAAUACUUUUAGACGUGGUUGCAGUCAGUGCUCUUGUUAUAUAUGUGAGCCGUGUGGUCUUGGGCUACAAGCAAACUUGGGAUAGAUAUCAACUUCUGGUCAAUAGGACGCUUAAUGAGAAAACAAUAGCAAGUGGCUUUGGUUCUAUUUACUUUCUCCUGGAUGCUUCUGAACAACAGCAGUACAAAGAAGCCAUUUUGGCAUAUGCAGUCCUGCUGACAGGAAACAGCCAGGAAAGUUGUGCUAGAAAUAUUGGAGCUAGAUGUGAGAAGUUUGUUUAUGAUCUAUUGGAAGAAAAGGUAGAAAUGCCUGUAGACAAAGCCAUAAGUACAUUGGUGAGGCUGGGUAUUGUAACGCAGGAUUCUUUAAAUGGGCACACUGAACUGCAGGCAGUCCCUUGCUUCAGGGCAUAUGAGAUUCUUAAACAACACUGGAAUAGCUUGCUCGGCUAAGUUUUGCUGUGCAGAAAGUUGUACACGUAGUAUGGGGCAAUCCCUCAAGAAAUUUGGUCCAUCUCUCUCUCUCUUUACAACUAUUUUUUCACGUCAUUGAAGGAUUUUUUUGCUAGUGUAAAGGGGAAUAAGGCUAUUUUGUAAUAUUUUCUUUCGUUUUUUGCAGCAAAUGGUGAGCAGAGUGAUAAUAUUGGUCCAAUGAUAGAAAAUUGCUACAAGAGUCAUUUUAGCAACACUGAGAAAUGGAGCUUCGCAGAAUUUUGCCAUGCAGUCUGCCUAACAGUCGAAGAUGUCAACGAAAAGCUAGGGAGCACACAGUUUAGGGUGACAAAAAUUGAGACACUCAAGCUACUGUACGAAAAAUAUGAGAUAAGAGGGAAAUCUUUGAAAAAUGAAGAGUUCCGCAGAAUGCUUCAUGAAAUCAUUUUCGAUACAAAAGUCACUGGCACCGGGGCAAAAGACAUAUUGUUAUACUUGUUUGGAGUCCCAGUCACUGCAUUAUUCAUCAAGCAAAGUGUUAUUCCACAAGCCAUGCCCAAUGAGAUCUUUAUUCCUGGCGUCACUUCAGCAACAGUUUUUCUUCUAGCCAAACUUCACAUGAUUUAGAUAAUCUUGCUAUAAAACGUGUGAAAUGUAAAUUCUCCACUUCCUUACUUGGCUUUUAUUCAAUUUCUGAUUCAUGACCAUAUUUUAAUUGUGAAAUAAUAUAUAUGAUCAUUUAUGUGUAUUAGUCCAUCACUAUUUACUUUUAAUAACAUAAUCUGCUGACUUUCUUGCAUGCAUCAGGGUACAGUUUCAUUGAGAGUCUAAUCUUGUAAUCUGGCCUUAACUUUAUUUGAAUUUAAGCCCAGAGACAUUGAAAGAAUUUCUUACAGAUGAAUAUAAUUAGUAUUUUUAGUUCU